RNAcentral lists this unclassified non-coding RNA (392 nucleotides) under soil metagenome. RNAcentral's name for it is "partial contains 5.8S ribosomal RNA, internal transcribed spacer 2, and large subunit ribosomal RNA". The stretch from base 1 to 123 matches the Rfam family "5.8S ribosomal RNA", at positions 35 to 154 of the family's 154-position model. The record is from RNAcentral.
GAUGAAGAACCGUAGCGAAAUGCGAUACUUGGUGUGAAUUGCAGAAUCCCGUGAACCAUCGAGUCUUUGAACGCAAGUUGCGCCCGAAGCCAUUAGGCCGAGGGCACGCCUGCCUGGGCGUCACACGUCGUUGCCCCCCCAUCUACUCCUUCGGGAUUGCGGGGGGCGGAUGAUGGCCUCCCGUGCGCCUCGUCGCGCGGUUGGCAUAAAUGCCAAGUCCUCGGCGACGCACGCCACGACAAUCGGUGGUUGCGAAACCUCGGUUGCCCGUCGUGUGCGGUCGUCGCGCAUCGAGGGCUCGAAAAAAUUGCCGGGCUCCGGCUCGGCUUUCAACGCGUCCCCAGGUCAGGCGGGGUUACCCGCUGAAUUUAAGCAUAUCAAUAAGCGGAGGA